Molecule: ribosomal RNA, 335 nt
Filed under: uncultured bacterium
Lineage: Bacteria
Description: partial 16S ribosomal RNA
Rfam family: Bacterial small subunit ribosomal RNA
Source: RNAcentral
CCUACGGGGGGCAGCAGUAGGGAAUAUUGCUCAAUGGGGUAAACCCUUACGCAGCAACGCCGCGUGGAGGAUGACGGUUUUCGGAUUGUACACUCCUUUUGUUAGAGAAGAUAAUGACGGUAUCUAACGAAUAAGCACCGGCUAACUCCGUGCCAGCAGCCGCGGUAAUACGUAGGGUGCAAGCGUUACUCGGAAUCACUGGGCGUAAAGAGCGCGUAGGCGGGAUCGAAAGUCCGUUGGAAAUUCCUAUGGCUAAACCAUAGAAUGGCAUUUGAAACUGUUAUUCUGAGUAAUGGAGGGGGAAGGGGAAAUUGUGGGGGAAGGGGGAAAUUCGG